Molecule: ribosomal RNA, 160 nt
Filed under: Nymphoides aquatica
Lineage: Eukaryota; Viridiplantae; Streptophyta; Magnoliopsida; Asterales; Menyanthaceae
Description: 5.8S ribosomal RNA
Rfam family: 5.8S ribosomal RNA
About the family: 5.8S ribosomal RNA (5.8S rRNA) is a component of the large subunit of the eukaryotic ribosome. It is transcribed by RNA polymerase I as part of the 45S precursor that also contains 18S and 28S rRNA.
Source: RNAcentral
AUGACUCUCGGCAACGGAUAUCUCGGCUCUCGCAUCGAUGAAGAACGUAGCGAAAUGCGAUACUUGGUGUGAAUUGCAGAAUCCCGUGAACCAUCGAGUUUUUGAACGCAAGUUGCGCCCGAAGCCAUUAGGCUAAGGGCACGUUUGCCUGGGCGUCGUA